RNAcentral lists this long non-coding RNA (1926 nucleotides) under Equus asinus (donkey). Its description in RNAcentral is "lncRNA (ENSEASG00005032967.1)". The record is from RNAcentral. Lineage: Eukaryota; Metazoa; Chordata; Mammalia; Perissodactyla; Equidae.
AGAAGGUAGAGGUAGAAGUUAGCAGGAGGAGGAACGGGAGUUUGCUUGGAUUGGCUGGCGCGGCAACGUGCGGAGCGCUGAUUGGUGGCAGGGAAAUGGAAUGAUUCUGCGUGGAUGUGGACUGGCAGGAGCCGGAGCGAGGUACCCCUGAGGCAAUGUUACCCAAAGAUUAUGUGACCAUUCAGAAGUUCCCCCGACCAGUCAGGAAAAAUUGUACACUUUUAAGGGCCUGUGGAGGAAAACCACUGAAGAGCAGAGGGAAGAGAAGGGAGGCACUGACUUCUGGCAAAUACCAGUUCUGCACCAACUAGCUGUGGGACUCUUUCUCAAUCUCCUCAUCUGUAAGGGUGGUAAUAAGGGAUCUUUAAAGUGUCUUACAGCUUUAAAAAUCUAUCAUUUCAACUCUUAUUUGAAUAAAAUCCAAUACAUUUGGAGAAAAUAAAAGGUAUUUUCAGUAUUCCAAGGUAUGACGAAGCUUGUUAAGGACAUUUUAGAUUGUUAAUGUCUUAGAACAGACUUCUUGACAUAAAUUCAAACUGGAUAUUGUUGGAGGAUGUCGUUGAGAGGACAUGACUGCCAAUUGACCUGCAAGCUGGACUUGGGCAAUCGGAGGCUCCUUACACCCUCCCCAUCCUUGGAUUGUACAUUCUGCCCACUGUUCCCAAAGUGGGAGCCAUUUUUAAGGAUGUAUCCUUGAGAGAGCAGUGUGUUAUUGAGACCAUCUGGAUGGCAUACAUGACUGAACCCAGUGAAGGCCUCUGUAUAAACUUUUAAGAUUCUGGUGGGCAAAUAUGGAGAUCUACUCAUCCUGCAGCCACCCAAGACAAGCCUUGUGAUUUCCCCUCUGGAUCUGGGAGCUUUCGUCAGCCAACCAAGGACCAGCUUUCUGAACUUCUUUUCCUUUGGACACAGCACUGGGAUGCAAAAUUCUGAAGAAUUAUGCCUGUUUGCCCACUGGUCAGGAGUACACAUGGUCAUAGACUGAUUAAAACAAGAUUUUCUGCAGAACGUGGCUGAUUUUCCAAAGUGCAGUGACGCAGUUCCUUUUUGCUCCCUAUCCCCACCAUACCCUCUCUGGACUGGAUUCAUGAGAAGACAGUUUUCAGUUGAAGAAACUCAGGCACUUAUGGAAACAACACUGAAUAGAGCUGCUUCCUAUGGCCUUCUCAGGCCAAGUGAUGAUGAGCGUGGGACUGUGGAGUCAGUUCAUCUCCAGUCAAGGCUGUGCUCGAGAAGAGUCUACAAGUAUGGGACAGGGUCCUGGAAGGGUGCCAACAGGGGCUUGCACAGGUCUAUCAGGAGGAAGAAAGUUAAUUAAAAGUCCGGUUAAGUUGGCUCAAAAGAAUAAUAAAUCAAAAAGUUCAUCAGGAGGAGCUGAGUGGGACAUGAUCCAAAGGAUCAAAGUGCGGGUCAGAAACGGGAUGAUUGGAAACAAAGCCAGCUCAGGAACUCACCUUGGGAUUGCUGAGACAAUGCUCUGGCAACAUCUUAUGCACAGGUUGGUGAGCGAAGCUGGAGAGGGCCCUCGUCCUGACAAUACCAGAGCCUGGAUAGAUCCUCAUAAUUUGAUGGGAAGGGAACAGUCUUGAGAGACAGUUUUGCAAGUGCUGGUUUUAGAGCAUUGUUUUCCUGGUUUGUCAAGUGAGAGAUCUGUGUUGAUAAUGUCUAGUGUUUGUGAAUAAUAACAUUCUUUGACACCAUCUGGAUAAGGCACCUAAAGCACUAGGCUCAUGUCUCUCCUAGAACCAGCCAGUCCUCCCUCAACCUUUGCAAAUCUAUCCCUGGUGCUGAUGUUCAGCAUGUGCAUGUGCAUAACAUCUGAGGAGAGCAAACAGCAGGGGCAGAGCCCCAGGACACCCAUCCUUCCUCGGCAGCGGAAGGUACCUCAGUUAGCACCUUCUACAGGAAGGAAACGCCUGUGGAGAG